This 482-nucleotide ribosomal RNA is filed under the name uncultured bacterium. RNAcentral's name for it is "partial 16S ribosomal RNA". It matches the Rfam family "Bacterial small subunit ribosomal RNA", at positions 30 to 507 of the family's 1533-position model. The record is from RNAcentral.
AUUGAACGCUGGCGGCAUGCCUUACACAUGCAAGUCGAGCGGUUGCAGGGCUUCGGGUCCUGACGUGUGGCGAGCGGGGGUGUGAUACAUCGGAAAGUGCCCGAUCGUGGGGGGUAACACGUCGAAAGCUUUGCUCAUAUCCCAUACGCUCUCCGGGUGAGAACAGGGGGGAGCAUGGCAUCUCGCGGUAUGAGCGGCGGAUGGCAGAUUAGGUAGUUGGUGGGGUAAAAGCUUACCAAGACGACGAUAUGUAGCUGGUCUGAGAGGAUGAUCAGCCACACUGGGACUGAGACACGGCCCAGACUCCUACGGGAGGCAGCAGUGGGGAAUUUUGGACAAUGGGCGCAAGCCUGAUCCAGCCAUGCCGCGUGCAUGAAGAAGGUCUUCGGAUUGUAAACCGCUUUUGUACGGAACGAAAAGCCGUCUGUUAAUACAGGGCGGUCUUGACGUUACCGUAAGAAUAAGCACCGGCUAACUACGUG